AUGCUGCUUUUAGGACCAAGAAAGUUCCAGGUCUGUUGCAAGGAGAGGUUGCUACAGGUGUGGGAGUGUACAUCUCUAUGCCUUUCAACCAAAAGGAAAUUAAUGUGCAAGUUCAAGCUUCAGCUUCUCCUACUUCUACUCCUCUGCAAGCUGAAGCUUUGGCUCUUUCUUUUGCUGCUCAUCUUGCUUCUCAACUCAAUAUUGCGCAGCCCACUUUUCUUUUGGAUUGUCUUGCUUUAG
Molecule: ribosomal RNA, 240 nt
Filed under: Triticum aestivum (bread wheat)
Lineage: Eukaryota; Viridiplantae; Streptophyta; Magnoliopsida; Poales; Poaceae
Description: partial small subunit ribosomal RNA
Source: RNAcentral